GACUAGUCUGAAGGUAGUGCGUUCUCUCAAUUGAUGGUUUACAGUCAGUUACAGAUCCAACUCCCUUCUCACAGCUGCCCUUGACUGAGUUCACU
RNAcentral lists this non-coding RNA (95 nucleotides) under Cercocebus atys (sooty mangabey). The record is from RNAcentral. Lineage: Eukaryota; Metazoa; Chordata; Mammalia; Primates; Cercopithecidae.